AUGAUCAGCACGAUGCAUAGUCUUUACAAAAUCUUCACCAUUCUCGUAAAGCAGAAAUGAUUCAUUACUCACUGGAAGUGCUUCAAUUUCAUUACUGGGUGUGAGGUCCUCGGGAACUUGUGCAAGUGGGGAUGUAGCUGAUGCAGCAAGUUAAACAGGCUUGGUAUCGAGCGGCGUCACAUGAUCGGAACGAUGUAUA
Molecule: long non-coding RNA, 199 nt
Filed under: Populus trichocarpa (black cottonwood)
Lineage: Eukaryota; Viridiplantae; Streptophyta; Magnoliopsida; Malpighiales; Salicaceae
Description: long non-coding RNA (PTRI_LNC000296)
Source: RNAcentral